Molecule: microRNA precursor, 104 nt
Filed under: Paramuricea clavata
Lineage: Eukaryota; Metazoa; Cnidaria; Anthozoa; Malacalcyonacea; Plexauridae
Source: RNAcentral
UAUCAUUUUACAACUUGAUUAGGCAGGUAUCUGGUUACAUGUCUACAUUUGGAAAACAAGUGUAGACAUGUAACCAGAUACCUGCUUAAUCAAGUUGUAAAAUG